Molecule: long non-coding RNA, 845 nt
Organism: Chinchilla lanigera (long-tailed chinchilla)
Lineage: Eukaryota; Metazoa; Chordata; Mammalia; Rodentia; Chinchillidae
Exons: 3
Source: RefSeq, a predicted model, not a curated record
GCUCCCUUACAAUGCCUCCAUCCCAGGUGGGCUGUACCCAUCCAAGGUCAUCACUGUGUUAGGCACUGUCAAGGAUGGUGCUCACAGCUUCAUCAUUGAGCUGUGCACUGAGAGUGACAUCGCCUUCCAAAUGAAGCCUGAUUUUGAUGGAAAGGCAGUGAUCUGCAACACUCGGAUCCAGGGCAACUGGGGGUCAGCGGAGCGAAUCCCACCCAUAAAUAUGCUUUUCAGAUGAGGAAAGAGCUUCAAGGUGCAGAUCCUAUGCGAAACCCAGGGCUACAAGGUGAUGGUGGACGGCCAACUCCUGCUGCAGUAUGCCCACCACCUGACGCGCCUGUCGGCCAUUGGUCAGGUGAAAGUGGAUGGUGAUCUUGAGCUUACUUCGGUGAAAGUCUAAGUGGGCUCCCUGGCCCAGUGUACCUCUGUGUGUGUCUCUUCCCGCUUGUCUUCCAUGAGCUACACCAGCCUCCGGAGCCCUGACCUCUGAGCAGAGGCUGCCGCUCACUGUAACAGCAGGCAAACCUCCAGCUCCAUUUCUCCUCGUCCUGUGGGGUCCUGAGCCUGCUGAGCCCCAGCGGAGGCCUACAUUGCAUGUGGCCCUCAAUCACCCUCCCAUCCUCUGUGCAACCCCACUUGGGUUCCAAACCACAGCUGUGCACUGCAGUAAGGAGGAGACCUGCAGGGCCUUCCCACUCUUGUGACCUUAACCUCUGUCCAUGGCUUUGCACCCUGCUGCCCCCCAACCCCUCUGGGAAGGCUGCUCUGGUGCCAUCCCGUGGGCUUGUACCAACUGACCAGAACUUUCUCAGCGAGGGCUCUCCCUUCCCUGGCAUCCUUAAAAUAAA